This 247-nucleotide ribosomal RNA is filed under the name Aquimarina brevivitae. The record is from RNAcentral. Lineage: Bacteria; Pseudomonadati; Bacteroidota; Flavobacteriia; Flavobacteriales; Flavobacteriaceae.
UUUUUUGAUCAUAACUUCAAUAUCUAUUACAACUCGUAUCAAUAUCUAAAUCAAUAUGUCAAACUUAUUAGUUGUUAGUUUGUAGUUUAUAGUUCGUAGUUACUAUUAACAAUAAACGAAACACUGGCAACAAACGACUUAAGGUGGUUAUAGCGACGGGGCUCACCUCUUACCAUUCCGAACAGAGUAGUUAAGCCCGUUAGCGCCAAUGGUACUACAAUCGUGGGAGAGUAGGUCGCCGCCUUCC